RNAcentral lists this ribosomal RNA (446 nucleotides) under uncultured bacterium. RNAcentral's name for it is "partial 16S ribosomal RNA". It matches the Rfam family "Bacterial small subunit ribosomal RNA", at positions 338 to 795 of the family's 1533-position model. The record is from RNAcentral.
CCUACGGGAGGCUGCAGUCGAGAAUCAUUCACAAUGGGGGAAACCCUGAUGGUGCGACGCCGCGUGGGGGAAUGAAGGUCUUCGGAUUGUAAACCCCUGUCAUGUGGGAGCAAAUUAAAAAGAUAGUACCACAAGAGGAAGAGACGGCUAACCCUGUGCCAGCAGCCGCGGUAAUACAGAGGUCUUAAGCGUUGUUCGGAAUCACUGGGCGUAAAGCGUGCGUAGGCUGUUUCGUAAGUCGUGUGUGAAAGGCGGGGGCUCAACCCGCGGACGGCACAUGAUACUGCGAGACUAGAGUAAUGGAGGGGGAACCGGAAUUCUCGGUGUAGCGGUGAAAUGCGUAGAUAGCGAGAGGAACACUCGUGGCGAAGGCGGGUUCCUGGACAUUAACUGACGCUGAGGCACGAAGGCCAGGGGAGCGAAAGGGAUUAGAUACCCGAGUAGUC